GUUGAACGCUGGCGGCGUGCUUAACACAUGCAAGUCGAACGAGAAGUGAAGACGUACUCCUUCAGUCGGCAGGCUUCAUUUCGAGUGUCGGACGGGUGCUUACCGCUUGGGUAACCUGCCUCAUACAGGGGGACAACAGUUGGACACGACUCUUAAUACCGCAUAAGACCACACCACCGCAUUGUGCGGGGGAAAAAACUCCGGUGGUAUGGGAGGGACCCGUGUUCGAUUGGCCAGUUGGCGGGGUAAACGCCCACCAAACGGACGAUCUGUACCCGGAAGGAGAGGAAGGCCCGACACCUUGGGGCUGGGACACGGGCCGAAAUACUACGGGAGGCAGCAGUGGGGAAUAUUGCACAAUGGGGGAAACCCUGAUGCAGCGACGCCGCGUGAGUGAAGAAGUAUUUCGGUAUGUAAAGCUAUAUCAGCAGGGAAGAAAAUGACGGUACCUGAGUAAGAAGCCCCGGCUAACUACGUG
RNAcentral lists this ribosomal RNA (478 nucleotides) under uncultured bacterium. Its description in RNAcentral is "partial 16S ribosomal RNA". It matches the Rfam family "Bacterial small subunit ribosomal RNA", at positions 28 to 507 of the family's 1533-position model. The record is from RNAcentral.